This 490-nucleotide ribosomal RNA is filed under the name uncultured bacterium. RNAcentral's name for it is "bacterial SSU rRNA". It matches the Rfam family "Bacterial small subunit ribosomal RNA", at positions 29 to 514 of the family's 1533-position model. The record is from RNAcentral.
AACGAACGCUGGCGGCGCGCCUAAUACAUGCAAGUCGAGCGAGAAGGUGUAGCAAUACACUUGUAAAGCGGCGAACGGGUGAGGAAUGCAUGGGUAACCUACCCUCGAGUGGGGAAUAACUAGCCGAAAGGUUAGCUAAUACCGCAUACGUUUCCGGAACUUCGGUUUCGGAAAGAAAGCAAUACCGUGGGUAUUGCGCUCCUGGAUGGGCUCAUGUCCUAUCAGCUUGUUGGUGAGGUAACGGCUCACCAAGGCUUCGACGGGUAGCUGGUCCGAGAGGACGAUCAGCCACACUGGCACUGCGACACGGGCCAGACUCCUACGGGAGGCAGCAGUAAGGAAUAUUGCGCAAUGGACGAAAGUCUGACGCAGCGACGCCGCGUGGGGGAUGAAGGUCUUCGGAUUGUAAACCCUUCGGGAGGGAAGAUGGAGUGGGUAACCACUUGGACGGUACCUCCAGAAGCAGCCACGGCUAACUUCGUGCCAGCAG